GGGAGAUCUAUUUGAUGACAAAAUGAGAUGGGUUAACACAACUAGAUAAUUACUAAUUAAUUACCAAACAACCCAAUUCUUAGGCUUUGACAUUGGGUUUCGGAGAUGGAUGGGGUUGCUGAUGAUGAUAUGGAGAAGCAUGAGAACCAUUCGCGACUGAAUAGCUGCGUAGUUGCUGCCCGUUCUUUGGAACCGGUCCAGCUGCUGUGUGGUAGCCGUUUCUCGCCAUUGGGCUGGAUCGUAUGCGGUCAGCUUGCAUUGUCUGAAAAUAAUAAGAUGAACUUGCCAUAUCCUUGAGGUUUGGGAGAGGCUUCAAGGCUUCAACAACUUCACUCAUCAAAGGUCUGACCUUUUGAUCUCGGCUAAGGCACUGAGCAGCUAAUUGUACUGCUUUUUGGGCAC
RNAcentral lists this unclassified non-coding RNA (402 nucleotides) under Hevea brasiliensis (rubber tree). The record is from RNAcentral. Lineage: Eukaryota; Viridiplantae; Streptophyta; Magnoliopsida; Malpighiales; Euphorbiaceae.